This 464-nucleotide ribosomal RNA is filed under the name Vreelandella stevensii. RNAcentral describes it as "partial 16S ribosomal RNA". It matches the Rfam family "Bacterial small subunit ribosomal RNA", at positions 339 to 795 of the family's 1533-position model. Lineage: Bacteria; Pseudomonadati; Pseudomonadota; Gammaproteobacteria; Oceanospirillales; Halomonadaceae. The record is from RNAcentral.
CUACGGGUGGCUGCAGUGGGGAAUAUUGGACAAUGGGCGAAAGCCUGAUCCAGCCAUGCCGCGUGUGUGAAGAAGGCCUUCGGGUUGUAAAGCACUUUCAGUGGGGAAGAAAGCCUUGGGGCUAAUACCCUCGAGGAAGGACAUCACCCACAGAAGAAGCACCGGCUAACUCCGUGCCAGCAGCCGCGGUAAUACGGAGGGUGCGAGCGUUAAUCGGAAUUACUGGGCGUAAAGCGCGCGUAGGCGGUCUGAUAAGCCGGUUGUGAAAGCCCCGGGCUCAACCUGGGAACGGCAUCCGGAACUGUCAGGCUAGAGUGCAGGAGAGGAAGGUAGAAUUCCCGGUGUAGCGGUGAAAUGCGUAGAGAUCGGGAGGAAUACCAGUGGCGAAGGCGGCCUUCUGGACUGACACUGACGCUGAGGUGCGAAAGCGUGGGUAGCAAACAGGAUUAGAUACCCCAGUAGUC